RNAcentral lists this ribosomal RNA (253 nucleotides) under uncultured bacterium. RNAcentral describes it as "partial 16S ribosomal RNA". It matches the Rfam family "Bacterial small subunit ribosomal RNA", at positions 524 to 776 of the family's 1533-position model. The record is from RNAcentral.
UACGUAGGCAGCAAGCGUUGUUCGGAGUUACUGGGCGUAAAGGGUGCGUAGGCGGUUUGCCAAGUUUGGUGUGAAAUCUCCCGGCUUAACUGGGAGGGUGCGCCGAAAACUGGCAGACUCGAGUGGGGGAGAGGAGAGUGGAAUUCCUGGUGUAGCGGUGAAAUGCGUAGAUAUCAGGAGGAACACCGGUGGUGUAGACGGCUCUCUGGACCCUAACUGACGCUGAGGCACGAAAGCGUGGGUAGCAAACAGG